AUCAGAAUUCUCUGACUUACAAUAUAUUCUCUGUUUAUAAGGGCCAGAAUGGCUUUCCAGUUAUGGCUGGGCUUGCAACAGCAAGAGGGAUUCAGUGCCACUGCCUAAAAUUCACCCAUCUUUAUUUCCUCUUUUCAAGCCAGCUCCAGACAGGAAAACUGAAGUAUUAGCUGAAAUCUCAUAUGAGCUGUGUUGUGCCAUUUCUCUGAGAAGACAGAAGCUUUCAAGGAUCCUGAUUGUGAAAACCCCAGAUGUAUGAAUGAGGACAGUCACCUUGAGAAGUAUCCCUGAGGUCUGGCAAGGAGAAGCUGCACAAUCUGUGCUGUACCACAGCGGCUGAAGGUUUUGGCUGCCAUCCUCUGCAGGGAAACGAAGGCACAGAGAUGCUAAAGGACACAUCCCAGCUUUAUAAUUUCCUACGUGCUGGAAGUAGGACAGGUAAGGACUCCUUCUAAAAUGGGUUCACUUUUAGCACUGAUCUGUUUGAAUCCUCCACAGUUUUCAUCCUCAACCUCUCAUAAAUCCUUUAUGUAGGACCUUGCCUUAGGAGACAAAGACAUUAUAUCUGAAAGCAACUGAAUCCAGGCUGGUGACUGGCAACCCUUUUGAAGCAGUAAAACCUUUCAGUUCACUAUCAG
This 638-nucleotide long non-coding RNA is filed under the name Parus major (Great Tit). Its description in RNAcentral is "lncRNA (ENSPMJG00000015748.1)". Lineage: Eukaryota; Metazoa; Chordata; Aves; Passeriformes; Paridae. The record is from RNAcentral.